UGUUUUUUUUUUAUUUAAAUAAGUAUAAAAAUAUCACUUAGUAACGAGAGCAAGUCAACCAAUGAUAAUUAUUUACCAGUGGGGGCUCCUUUGCACAGGAUGCCGGCUAGAUUAUGGGUACCACAACGGCGCCUACUUCUCCCGUGAAGUAGUAAUGUGUAAACAUUACUGCGUUUCGGUCUGAAGAGCGCCGCAGCUAGUGAAAUUAAUGGGCAAAUGAGACUUAAUAAUGUCUAUCGGUGACGAGCCCAAUUAUAGUGCCGCUCAAUUUUUUUUUGGUUUUAUCAAGAUUCCCGGCGGCACUGCAUUGCAAUGGGCAUGGCGUAUCAAUUAUCAUCAGCUGAACGUCCUGCUCAUCUCGUCCCUUAUUUUCAUAAAAAAGAAAUUAUCAUCGCAGCUAACAACACAGAAAGCUGUACAUAGGUCUUGACAUGAGAUUUCCGUUGAUUGAAAAACCGUUUUAGUCAAAAUGAAAAUCACUUUAUUCAUCCAGAUCAACAAAAUGGCACUUUACAAGUAGGUACCAUUUCAUCAUUUGUCAAAAGGAUUUUUCUUUUAUUUACCAUCACUUUGGAAAUUAUUGAGCUCUAAUUAUAAGAGGUAAGAAUCGGAUUCCCACUCUUGUUAAUCAACAUUUACAGCUUCAUCAUUUUACAAUUUAUUUUAGUUACAUGUUCAUAAAUACAAGAAAAAUACUUAACAUCUAACACUUCACACGAGUAAGUACGAAUAUAAAUGUAAAUACAUAAAUAAAAGCACAAGAGAACAAUAGAUAAAUAAAUCCACACACACUGCAUACGUACAAAGCAGAGGUUAACUAACUGUCGUAAUAAAUAUACUAUACUAGCUGACCCGACAGACGUUGUUCUGUAUAUAAUAAAUAAAAUAAUGUUUUUAUAUAAAUUUGUCAAUAAUCAUAACAUCAAAAAUUACUUCGUAAAAUAUGCACCCUGCUGUCGUAAUGAAAUUGUUUCACAGCAGAACUGUCAAACCGUGCGUCAAUAAAUUCUCUCAUAGAAAAUAUGUAUGGAAACAUCAAAGGAAAAACAAAUUUGUUGUUUUAUUUAAUUUAGCAGCAUUUUCCUAUUUAUUCACCUUUUAAACCUUCUCUGGACUACCACAAAUAAUUCAAGGUACCAAAAUCAGCCAAAUCGGUCCAGCCCUUCUCGAGUUUAAGCGAGACUAACGAACAGCAAUUCAUUUUUAUAUAUAUAGAAGAUAGAAGAUUAAAGUAGGUAUUCUGCAAGCUGUCAAAACAGAAACACGUACUUAACAACGCUCCAAUAAAACAUAAAUAAAAUAAGUGAUUAAAUUGUGAUUUUAAAGUGUGAAUACGUGACUGGAUUGAGUUAAUGAUUUAAACUGAAGAUAAAACACCAACUAAAUUACCGUUUUUACAAGCAUUUACUUACGGUAAAAAUCGAGGGAGUCGUAUCAUUCUUUAUUUCACUAAACAGAGUUUCGAUUUUGGGAAAUUACAAGAUUUGAAACAAUUUAAAUUACCAUAUUCAACAACAAUAAAAAGCUGAAAAAAAGUCAAGCCUUGACACGUCAAGGCUCAUAUUCGUUUAUUUUUGUAAAAUUAUAUCUAUUACUAUAAAAUGGUAAAAUACAUCUAAAUUCUGUGCCAAUAAUUUGACAAAGCAAAAGAAGACCUGAUUGAUAUUAGAAACAAAGAAUAUACAAGUGCUUGAGUCUCGGUCUUCAGUUCGUGGAUUGCAUUUUGACAAGAAAAAAUAUUAUUAUCGAUUUUAUGGACAAGUGUUAUUAUCUAUUAUUGUGUGGUUCAAAGUCUUGAAAAUAUAAUUUCUAGUGACACAGCCAGCCCUAGCAAAAACGUCUCCAUGGCGCCCAGUCGUGGGUGAUGGUGCGACAGCGCUCUGUGUCCGCCGGCCAACCGCCGGCCCUGACGCCUGUCUGUUAUAGUGACAUUACUAAAAAGUGUUUUAUGUGUACAUUUAUAUUAUUGAUUUUGUUAGUUAUUUUGUGUUUUCAGCCACUGCAGCUAGGAUUUGGUUCGAAAGGCGGCUGCGAAGAUGCAGUACACGCGCUCCGUUCCUUUUUGAAAAAUGAUGAAGGUGAGGUGGUCUUGAAAGUGGAUUUAAAAAAUGCCUUCAAUUUUGUAAGUAGAUCAAGCAUUUUAACAGAAAUUCAAAAUUCGAUCCCAGAAACAUUUAGCUAUCUUUGGCAAUGUUAUGGUUCGGAGUCAAAAUUAUUUUAUAGGGACAAUGUUAUCCAGUCUUCUACUGGUUGUCAACAGGGUGAUCCACUCGGACCGGCAAUAUUCAGUCUCGCUAUACACCCAAUAAUUAAUUUACUAAACUCUAAAUUAAAUAUGUGGUACUUAGAUGACGGCACUUUAGGAGGUGAAACAAAUAUAGUUCUAAAAGAUCUCAGUUUUUUGAUAAAAAAAAGUUUUAUGAAAUUGGUUUAGAGCAAAAUUUUUCAAAGUGUGCACUUUUAAUCUCAGUUUUGGUACCUUUUGAUAGAAGAGAUGCGAUACUUAAACAAUUCAACAUUAUUGCCCCAAAUUUAAAAAUUAUAGAAAAGCAAUCUCUUCGCCUUUUCGUUGCACCAAGUUUGGAAGAGUCUUUCUCAGCAUAUAUAAAUGAACAAAAUUCAAAAUUUUAACAAUAUUCAGACCGCUUACUAUGCAUACAUUCCCACAUGGCCUAUCAUAUAAUUUGGAUUUGUCUCUUUGUCCCCAAGCUAACCUAUGUUCUCCGAUGUUGCCCUCAUUGGAAUCAUGAGAUACUUUUGUCAAGUUUGGACGAUUCUCUACGAAAUUUACUAUCAAAAAUAUUAAAUUGUUCAUUGUCUGAUAUUUAUUGGUGCCAGGCUUCUCUGCCCAUUCGUUUUGGUGGAAUUGGCAUCAGAAUAAUAUCUAGUAUAUCCUUACCAGCAUUCUUAUCUUCUGCUCACAAUCUCAGCACUUUAUAUGAUAAAAUUAUCUCUCCGUCAUCAGCCUGCCACUGGUGUAUGCGGAAACUGCUAAAACUGCUUGGAAAGUUGCCUGUCCAAGUAAAAAAUUCCCUUUAAACAUGCGAUCACAAAAGAUUUGGGAUGAGCCACAGUGCAAAAUCAUUCACAAAAGGAUAUUAUUAUCAAAUCACAAUACUUCGGAUCAGGCUCGUUUUAUUGCUGUUAGCGAACGAGAUUCAGGGUACUGGCUUCAGGCCACUUCUUCGAGUAACAUAGGGACACUUCUUGAUAAUUCCAGCUUCUCAAUCACAUUUGGUUUACGCCUGGGUAUCCCUAGAACAGUUCCCCAUAUGUGCCGCUGCGAGGCAAUGUAGACAGCCUUGGUCACUUUGGCUUAUCUUGCCGCCGCAGUGCGGGCCGUCUCUCACGCCAUGCCGCGUUAAACGACAUCUUGCGUCGGGCCUUUACUACCGUCAACGUGCCGGCUAUCCUAGAGCCGAAUGGAAUUUCACGUGAUGAUAGUAAGAGGCCUGAUGGCAUGACGUUGAUUCCUUGGAGUCGUGGAAAGCCACUGGUGUGGGAUGCGACUUGUGUGGACACGCUAGCCCCCUCUCAUAUUGAACAUUCAUCGAGAGCGGGAGAUGCAGCGGCGGAAUCUGCCGAAAACCUAAAGCGGAGGAAAUAUGCAUCACUCGGUGAUGGAUACAUAUUUGUUCCCUUUGGGGUGGAGACGAUGGGUCCUUGGAGUUCAUCGGCACAAAAACUCGUAAAAGAGCUAUCCAGGCGUCUAACCGAUUUAACAGGUGACCCAAGAUCUGGUACGUACCUAUGUCAAAGGAUAAGUUUGGCUAUACAAAGAGGUAACGUUGCCAGCUUCAUGGGCACCUUACCUGCCGAUAGCGAUCUGAAUGAUAUUUUCUAUUUGUAAUUAAUUAAUUUUGUUAGAUUAUUUAAGUUUUAUUUUAUUAUUAUUUAUAUAAAUAGCGUUAUUAAUUAUUAAGUCAUAUGUAAAUAAUUUGAAAUCUAUGCUAAUAUUAUAAAGCUGCAGUGUUUGUUUGUUUGUUUGAACGCGCUAAUCUCUGGUACUACUGGUCCGAUUUGAAUGAUUCUUUCAGUGUUGGGUAGUCCAUUUAUCGAGGAAGGCUAUAGGCUAUGAAUUGUUCAAAAUUAGGGAUCCGUAAUAAAAUUGCUAUUGUGUAACUUAAGGUGUAAAAUCGAAAACCUAUUUUUGCGUGCGCUGCAAAAACUAUUGACAAUAGAACAAAAUGAUGUACAGGCUAUAAUAUAGGCAAUAUUUUAUUACUUAUAAAACUAUCGCGUGAAUUAUACUUUAUAUGGCAAAACAACGUUUGCCGGGUCAGCUAGUAUUAAAAUAAGUUUGAAGUUAAAUAUUAUUCAGACAUAAAGAAUAAAAAAAAUCUGUUGUUGUUAACUAUCACAAAUUGAUAACAUGAGGGUAGUAGCAACAUAGUUUGACACGCAAUAAAAAGCUGAAGUGUGAAUACAUUGCGGUGAGAUAAAUUAAUAAUAAUUAUAAAAACAUAACAAUAAAUCAUUCAUGUUAUUAUCAUAUAAAUUUUGUGUUUGGAUGUCAAAGUCAAAAUUGUUAAACUGUGACAUAGAUCAACAAGACAUUUGUACGCUAUAGAGAGUGUAAAAGGGCUGGAGUUUAUGGCCUGGUAUCUAGACCUUUAAUCCAAAACGUAAAAGGGCUGCUCACUCUAUAGUGUUGCCAUUUCGAAAAUAUACUAUACAUACUACAGAUUUUAACAAUAAUCAUUUCAUUCGUUUUAUUUAAAAUCUUGCAAAAUGGAUGUACAAAUGCAAUUAUUAUUUUCAAAAAUGCAAACAGAAAUGAAAACCAAACAGAGGAAAUAACUAAUAGAUUAAUACAAUCAUUUGAAGGAAAAAUUUAUGUUUUACUAAAAGAAAAUUUAGGGCUACGCAAUACUGUGGAUGAAUUGAGUAACAAAGUUUGCAAAUUAGAUAUCCGACAAUACAAUUUGAUACUACACGGAGUUGAUGAAGUUGAAACGAACUCGAUGGAGCUAAAUGAACUAACUACCAAAGUCCUACGAAACAUGAAGCUAGAAUUAGGGCAUCUAGAAAUAAGAGCAGCUUAUAGUAUUGGAAAGAAAAAUGAGAAAAACAA
Molecule: long non-coding RNA, 5074 nt
Organism: Leptidea sinapis
Lineage: Eukaryota; Metazoa; Arthropoda; Insecta; Lepidoptera; Pieridae
Exons: 2
Source: RefSeq, a predicted model, not a curated record